RNAcentral lists this ribosomal RNA (1249 nucleotides) under uncultured Gammaproteobacteria bacterium. RNAcentral describes it as "bacterial SSU rRNA". It matches the Rfam family "Bacterial small subunit ribosomal RNA", at positions 9 to 1252 of the family's 1533-position model. The record is from RNAcentral. Lineage: Bacteria; Pseudomonadati; Pseudomonadota; Gammaproteobacteria.
GAGUUUGAUCCUGGCUCAGAUUGAACGCUGGCGGCAGGCUUAACACAUGCAAGUCGAACGGUAACAUGAGUGCUUGCACUUGAUGACGAGUGGCGGACGGGUGAGUAGAGUAUGGGGAUCUGCCGAAUGGAGGGGGACAACAGUUGGAAACGACUGCUAAUACCGCAUAAAGUUGAGAGACCAAAGCAUGGGACUUACGGGCCAUGCGCCAUUUGAUGAACCCAUAUGGGAUUAGCUAGUUGGUAGGGUAAUGGCUUACCAAGGCGACGAUCUCUAGCUGGUCUGAGAGGAUGACCAGCCACACUGGAACUGAGACACGGUCCAGACUCCUACGGGAGGCAGCAGUGGGGAAUAUUGCACAAUGGGGGGAACCCUGAUGCAGCCAUGCCGCGUGUAUGAAGAAGGCCUUCGGGUUGUAAAGUACUUUCGGUAACGAGGAAGGUGGUGUAUCUAAUAGGUGCAUCAAUUGACGUUAAUUACAGAAGAAGCACCGGCUAACUCCGUGCCAGCAGCCGCGGUAAUACGGAGGGUGCGAGCGUUAAUCGGAAUGACUGGGCGUAAAGGGCAUGUAGGCGGAUAAUUAAGUUAGGUGUGAAAGCCCUGGGCUCAACCUAGGAAUUGCACUUAAAACUGGUUAACUAGAGUAUUGUAGAGGAAGGUAGAAUUCCACGUGUAGCGGUGAAAUGCGUAGAGAUGUGGAGGAAUACCGGUGGCGAAGGCGGCCUUCUGGACAGAUGCUGACGCUGAGAUGCGAAAGCGUGGGGAGCAAACAGGAUUAGAUACCCUGGUAGCCCACGCUGUAAACGAUGUCGAUUUGGAGUUUGUUGCCUAGAGUGAUGGGCUCCGAAGCUAACGCGAUAAAUCGACCGCCUGGGGAGUACGGCCGCAAGGUUAAAACUCAAAUGAAUUGACGGGGGCCCGCACAAGCGGUGGAGCAUGUGGUUUAAUUCGAUGCAACGCGAAGAACCUUACCUGGUCUUGACAUCCACAGAAUCUUGCAGAGAUGCGAGAGUGCCUUCGGGAACUGUGAGACAGGUGCUGCAUGGCUGUCGUCAGCUCGUGUUGUGAAAUGUUGGGUUAAGUCCCGCAACGAGCGCAACCCCUAUCCUUUGUUGCCAUUGGUUCGGCCGGGAACUCAAAGGAGACUGCCGUUGAUAAAGCGGAGGAAGGUGGGGACGACGUCAAGUCAUCAUGGCCCUUACGACCAGGGCUACACACGUGCUACAAUGGCGUAUACAAAGGGAGGCGA